UCUCCGUUGGUGAACCAGCGGAGGGAUCAUUACCGAGUUAUCAACUCCCAGACCCCUGUGAACAUACCCAACGUUGCUUCGGCGGGACCGCCCCGGCGCCCUCGGCGUCCCGGAACCAGGCGCCCGCCGGAGGACCCAAACUCUUGUUUAAACCAUAGUGGCAUAUUCUGAGUCUCACAAGAAAAAUGAAUCAAAACUUUCAACAACGGAUCUCUUGGCUCUG
RNAcentral lists this unclassified non-coding RNA (223 nucleotides) under plant metagenome. RNAcentral's name for it is "partial contains small subunit ribosomal RNA, internal transcribed spacer 1, and 5.8S ribosomal RNA". The record is from RNAcentral.